RNAcentral lists this ribosomal RNA (253 nucleotides) under uncultured Hyphomicrobiaceae bacterium. RNAcentral's name for it is "partial 16S ribosomal RNA". It matches the Rfam family "Bacterial small subunit ribosomal RNA", at positions 524 to 776 of the family's 1533-position model. Lineage: Bacteria; Pseudomonadati; Pseudomonadota; Alphaproteobacteria; Hyphomicrobiales; Hyphomicrobiaceae. The record is from RNAcentral.
UACGAAGGGGGCUAGCGUUGUUCGGAAUUACUGGGCGUAAAGCGCACGUAGGCGGAUUUGUAAGUUAGGGGUGAAAUCCCGGGGCUCAACCUCGGAACUGCCUUUGAUACUGCAAGUCUCGAGUCCGGAAGAGGUGAGUGGAAUUCCUAGUGUAGAGGUGAAAUUCGUAGAUAUUAGGAAGAACACCAGUGGCGAAGGCGGCUCACUGGCCCGGUACUGACGCUGAGGUGCGAAAGCGUGGGGAGCAAACAGG